This 436-nucleotide ribosomal RNA is filed under the name uncultured bacterium. RNAcentral's name for it is "partial 16S ribosomal RNA". It matches the Rfam family "Bacterial small subunit ribosomal RNA", at positions 28 to 507 of the family's 1533-position model. The record is from RNAcentral.
AACGAACGCUGGCGGCAGGCCUAACACAUGCAAGUCGAGCGCCCUGUCGGGGGCGCGGCGGACGGGUGAGUAACGCGUGGGAAUAUGCCCUUCUCUACGGAAUAGCCUCGGGAUACUGAGAGUAAUACCGUAUACGCCCUGAGGGGGGAAGGUUUAUCGGGGAGGGAUGAGCCAGCGUUGGAUUAGGUUGUUGGUGGGGUAAUGGCCUACCAAGCCGACGAUCGAUAGCUGGUUUGAGAGGAUGGUCGGCCACACUGGGACUGGGACACGGGCCAGACCCCAAAGGGCGGCAGGAGGGGGGAGUGGGGAACAGUGGGCGAAGGCGGAAACCAGCAACGCCGCGUGCGGGGUGACGGCCUAAGGGUUGGGGGCUGAUAUCGCUUGGGACGAGGCGAGAGUGACGGUACCCGGAAAAGAAGCACCGGCUAACUCCGUG